UUUUGGGUGCAAUAUGUAUUCUAUAUCAAUCACAUUAUUCACUUCAAACAGCUUUAUGCACACUCUAUCCAAAUUGCACGUGAUACAUUUGAUUCAUGUUAUACAUGUUACGCUAUUGUAAACUCUCAUGACUAUGUGUUCAUUAACUUUGCAAGCCUCCCCUAACAAUGGUAGCGCUAUAGGUUGAGAAACGCCCCUCCCGUUAUUCUCGCGGGUAUUGUUAGGUUAAUCUAUGUUAAAACCUCCCGUUAUUCUUUGGGAUAGGCACGUUAAUUGCGUUAAACUUUGGUUUGGACACAUAGAGUAACAUCGUUUCGAGUAUAUACUGUUAAUGUGUAAUCAUGUUAUUCACGUUGGAUAUGAGCAACUUUAAACUUUUUAUUAUACUAUAUAUCAAACUUGUAUACUCGCCAACAUACCUUGUUCAUUUGUUCAAGAUUCAAGAAACAAGCUAGGAUGGCUUUAGAUACCCAUUUUAGCAAUUAAACCAUGUUUGAAUUUAUGUUUACUAUUUGAGACAUUGUAUUACUUUCUUAGUUUUAAUAAAACGAAUUAAUUCAUAUUGUCACCUUUAGUGUUAUGUUGUUUUGAGCAAUUUGU
Molecule: long non-coding RNA, 600 nt
Filed under: Helianthus annuus (common sunflower)
Lineage: Eukaryota; Viridiplantae; Streptophyta; Magnoliopsida; Asterales; Asteraceae
Description: hypothetical non coding rna
Source: RNAcentral